This 497-nucleotide ribosomal RNA is filed under the name uncultured bacterium. Its description in RNAcentral is "partial 16S ribosomal RNA". It matches the Rfam family "Bacterial small subunit ribosomal RNA", at positions 28 to 507 of the family's 1533-position model. The record is from RNAcentral.
GAUGAACGCUGGCGGCGUGCCUAAUACAUGCAAGUCGAGCGAACGGACGAGAAGCUUGCUUUUCUGAUGUUAGCGGCGGACGGGUGAGUAACACGUGGAUAACCUACCUAUAAGACUGGGAUAACUUCGGGAAACCGGAGCUAAUACCGGAUAAUAUUUUGAACCGCAUGGUUCAAAAGUGAAAGACGGUCUUGCUGUCACUUAUAGAUGGAUCCGCGCUGCAUUAGCUAGUUGGUAAGGUAACGGCUUACCAAGGCAACGAUGCAUAGCCGACCUGAGAGGGUGAUCGGCCACACUGGAACUGAGACACGGUCCAGACUCCUACGGGAGGCAGCAGUAGGGAAUCUUCCGCAAUGGGCGAAAGCCUAACGGAGCAACGCCGCGUGAGUGAUGAAGGUCUUCGGAUCUUAAAACUCUGUUAUUAGGGAAGAACAUAUGUGUAAGUAACUGUGCACAUCUUGACGGUACCUAAUCAGAAAGCCACGGCUAACUACGUG